Gallus gallus (chicken) is the source of this 773-nucleotide long non-coding RNA. Lineage: Eukaryota; Metazoa; Chordata; Aves; Galliformes; Phasianidae. The record is from Ensembl.
GGAACGUGUAGUCUCUGCUCUUCCUCUCACUUGCCCUCAUUUGAAAUUAUUUAAAUUAGUAGUUUCCUCAAAAGGCUGUCGAUUUGUAUGAAACUUCACAUGAGAAUGAGCUUAUUUAAUAUGCUUGUGCGUGAGGGCUUGCGAAAGUUGGCUGAUGUUUAAAGGGUGGAAGAAGUUAUUGUCCGUGGCUGUACCAAAGUUUAGUUGCUAGUGUUACAAAAUGAGUGAACCCACGCACCUCGGGAGGCACGCAAUCUUCAAAGCAUUGUGUUGGCUGUUCUAAAUUCACCUUUGUGCUGUCAUGCAAAUUUGAAAUGAUUUUGGGUGAGAAUUACUCUUCUGACAAUGUGUAGGAUGUGUGUUGUGGUGCUUCCCUCUAACAAGACAAGUAGCGUGCCUGAAGCAUGGGCUUGUCAAGAUUUCAGACAGCUGACAAUGACAUAAAAUGCCUCAGCUAUUCUGCAGUUUGGCACUUGCCACUUGUUUCCUGUGGUCUUUGAACCCUUUCACUGUGCCACCAAUCCCAUUUCCAAAAUCAGUAUUUAAAUAUGCCUCCUUCCGUGACCACUUUGGAGAUGUUUGAUGGGCUUUGGCCAGUGCGCUGUCCAAGCAAUUCUGUACCAAGGAGAAGGCAGGCCGUGUCUUGCAAAUGGCUUCCAAUCAUAUGCCUUGUGUUUCAAUCACUACUCUCCACAUGCUUCAUACCAUGCCUAAGAGAGAGCUUGAUCACGGUGUUCUUAAGCAAGGUCAUUGAUUUUUAUAAACGGUAUUAU